This 6758-nucleotide long non-coding RNA is filed under the name Podarcis lilfordi (Lilford's wall lizard). The stretch from base 3680 to 3751 matches the Rfam family "tRNA". Lineage: Eukaryota; Metazoa; Chordata; Lepidosauria; Squamata; Lacertidae. The record is from RNAcentral.
UAACUUCCUUCCAGCAGAAUAACUUGGGAGUUAAUGGUGGUGUAAGGGGUUUAGUAGCAUUUCUAACUUCAUCCAGCUGGCGUAACACAAAGAGAGGGCGGCGUUGUAAAUCUGAUUUCAAAGCUAUUCUUUCUCCACUAAGAAUUUUAGGAGCUGUAGUUCUUUGGGAGGAAGCUAGGGAUUUAUAACAGAGAAAUCUCAGCUCCCUUCAAAAUGGAAAUAUUACAGAAAUACCAUGAUAGUUACCAUAAAUUGGAUACAAGCCCCUUAGGGUUUGCAGCGUAGGGAUGCCCUGGGUUUGGUGGUGGGGGGGAUAAGAAGCUACAUGACCCAAAUUCCCCAUAUGUGUUUGCAGAUGGCAACGUUGCCUUGAAACGCAUCACCAGCUUUUCUCUUUCUCGCUGCUCUCUUUGAGAUUUGAGCGCGCCACUUCUCCAAAGCCAGACCAUAGCUCAGCGAUAAAGCACAUACAUACUUUGAGUGCAGAUGGACCCAGGUUCAAUCCCAAGCAGCAUCUCCAUGUGAGGAGUGGGGCAGACAAUCCUUUGAAACCCUGGAGGCUGUGGACAGCCCUCAGGUAGAUGGACCAGGACUCAGUAGAAAGAAGGCAGUUUUCUAUGUGGGCCACCCUCUCCCCACCCAAAAUAAUCCAUGCAAAUCUGAAUUACUGGAUUCACACUAAGUAAGGGGUAGUGUUCUGUUAGAAGGAGGAGAAAUCAAAUUUCCAAGAAUAUUAGAUGUUCCCGAAUAAAAGCCCUGCUGAGUAACAUACACAUUUUUAAUGGCUUCUUAUCCAUCUCCUUCAUUCCGUAUACAAACAGCAAAAAAGAAGACAGGAUUAAAAGAUUAGAUUUGUCAAGUUGUGUUUUUUUUUAAUGUCUUUCAGCUUCUGCGUUAUUAAACCCAAGCCACUGACCACAUAGCUGGGCUUCUCUUCAUUUGACAAGAAAGGGGGAUUUCUUCAUGCCUGCAAUUGAUUUCCACACUUCAAAUCAAAGAUUAUUCAAUCUUCCUCUAGAAAUCUGAUGUAUGUUUUACAGGCUUUUCUUUUUCUUUAAAAAAGAAAAAGUCCUUUACCCUAAUUAUACCAUUGCAUGUCACAAUUAUCACUUGACUUCAGCAAAACCCUUCGGCAGGGGGAGUAUACUGAGGCCCGAAGGCCAAAUAUAAACAUUUUAAUAAGGAAAGAAAUAAGAAUGUGAGGGGCGGUAAUUGUAAAUUAGUGUUUUGGGGGGGGGCAGGCUUAGCACUUUUUAAAACAAAACAAAAAAACUAUGCUGAUGCACAUGUAAGAAAAGUGGGGGGACGGGACCUCCAUGUACCAGGAUUAUAAAGUUCAGUGCAAGCUUCUUAAUACCACAUGAUUUUCUGAUUUUCUCUUUCUUAGUCCCAGGUUAGUUAACAUCUUCACGUUUUUUUCUCUUUCUUUAACUCUCCCCAUGUCAGCUAGUGCAAAACAAAUUUCUCUUUCACUCCACCUCCCUUUGUCUCCUGUAUUUUUUAAGAUGGUGAGUCUGUGGUGGGAAUGGGCAAACACAACAUUUUCACUUUUUCUCAGUUUUUCAUUUUGCCAACCUUAAAUUAAGUUCCCUAUAUUUCCACAUCGGACUGUGAUUUUUUUUAAAAAAAACCUGAUGAAAGGUCAUCAUCAUUUUAGCAGAAAUGUCUCCUAAUAUACACAUAUGUACUAUAUGCAGUUUUGUCUAAUAUACACAUGACAUGUUUGAAAAGCAACUUUCCCAAACAUAAUACAUUAUUUUCAUAUUUAUAUGCACACUCCUCACCAAUUAACCUUUUUUUUUUGUACACAUCACUUGGCUGGGGAACUGCAUUGCAAGAUGUUUCGGUUCAUAUAUUGCUUUGGAAAAUGUGAAUUAAGUGAUUUUGCGUUUAAAUGUGAACUGAAUCAAAUUUCUCCUCCCAUCCCUAGCCUGUUGGCCAUGAUUCCCCCUCCCCUCUUACUUUCUGUUUCCUUCUGGUUCCUGGUCUACUAUUAGCCUCUUUUAUACACGAUCAUUGUUGACUAUUAAAAAAAAAAUUUUUUUUUAAAGUAUUGACAUCCAGACAUAUUCAGACACUUAUUUAUGGAUGUAAUGUCACUACUUUCUAAAUGCCAGGAUAGCGGACUCCCUUGUGGUCUUAAGGCAGUGUUGGCAUUAAUGACACCGUCUGCAGCCGCCCGUUUCUCCUUCAUUCCAUCAUCUCUUGUGUCUGUUUCAACAAAGUCAUCCUUUCCGCGCACCCCCAGUCUCAGUAGGAAACACUAGAAACUGAGACCUCAAACAACCCAUUUGAAUUUAUGCUCUAAAAGCUUCCCAGACUUUGACGUGCAGAUGCCAUCAAAGGCGAUUCUUAUCAGCAUCCUGAAUGCUCAGGUACGAUGUCUGUUGGCAGCUUAGCUGGGGGUAUUUUAGCAGUGAUGGCAAAAACGGCAUUUCAUUCUCCCACAUCUGAGGCUUGGGAAUGACUUUGCAAAGUUUCGUUAAUUAAGCCUGGCAGCCCCCUUGUGAGUCAGACAAGGAAUAUCUAAACGUGCGACAUUAUCCGCAACUCUAAUGCAGCCACCUGUGGGACAGAGCGUGACAGUCCUCCUACAAGGCAAGCCCACACAGCUUGCACCCUAAUUAAGCAAUUAGGAGCCGUGGAAGGCUUUAUUCAAAGAGCAUGUAAUUCCAGGCAAUGCGCAGGUUGAGAAAUGCAUCUGUAUCUGUAACCUGCAUUCGUUGACUUCGUCGGCGAGUUUUGAGUGGCGUAAGUUACAUUGCCACACUGUGUCGCAGCAGCAGCAGGCUUUGGUAAUAUGGCGUCCUGGACAAGGACAAAAGUUGGCACCCUCCGUAUAUUUCUUGUUUUCACAAUAGUUCCUUAUUAUUAAUUUGCACCCUCUUGGCUCGGUGCCCUGCACAGGGGAACCGCCCGCACCACCCUAAAUCCGGCAUUGGUCACAGCAAAGCUUUGUCUAGCUUAGUACUCUGUCUAUGACAGCGACCGGCCCUGCAGAGGAGACUGGGAAGUAGGCCUUUUUGAAAACUAAGUGUUGUGCGGUUGCAUAACAGCAACACUAUUAGAUGGAUUUCCUUUGGAUGAGGAGCUUAACAGUAUCUUUCUGUGUGCGGGCGAAAUUUAUGAACAUACAAAGCAGGGAUGGUCCAAAGAUAAAUCUACUGAGAGCUGAUUUCCAGCAGAUCUGCAAGGGUUUCUGAUUCUGAAUUGUUUCAACAAUAUCAACAACAAAAGGAUGCCUCUUCAGCCUUCCAAAUUAAGUUGUUUGAAUCCCUGAACAACUCAAGGUUCACACUUAUGUUUAUUUGUUACGUUUCUAUGCCAUCUCUCCCCCAAGGAGCUCAAUGUGGCAUACAUGGUUUCCCCUCUCCUCAUUUUCCCCUCACAAAAACCCUGUGAGGUAGGUUAGGCUGAGAGACAGUGACAGGCCCAAGGUCACCCAGUGAUCUUCAUGACGUAGUGGAGACUAGAACCCCCGUCUCCCAGGUCUUAGUCCAUUACUCUAACCACUACACUACAUUGGCUGUUACUGGAAUUCAUAUUGGUGUAUGACUCAUGAGGUGUUGUUGGGGCUCUCCUUUCUGAGCCACCAUUUUGCGCCUGGUUCCACCCAUCUCCCAUCUCCUAUUUUGUAUCUAGCUCUGUUUGGUGGAGCUCAGGGCUCUUGUAACCCUGAAGGGCCGUAACUCAGUGGUAGAGCAUCUGCUUUGCAAGCAGGAGGUCGCAGGUUCAAUCCCUGGCAUCUCUAGGUAGGUUAAAGGUAAAGGCAAAGGGACCCCUGACCAUUAGGUCCAGUUGCGGACGACUCUGGGGUUGCGGUGCUCCUCUCACUUUAUUGGCCGAGGGAGCCGGCGUACAGCUUCCGGGUCAUGUGGCCAGCAUGGGUUAGGAAUGGACUAAUGGCAGCUUUUUAUGUUCCUAAAUAAACUCUCUUAAGUAGAUUCUGACGUGAAUGAAAUUUAGAGCAACAUGUCAGAAUCUUGGUCAAAAAGCCUCAGCUUCAUAAUGCAACAGAUAUUGCAGUGUGAGAGGAAGAUUAGAAAAGUGCCAGAAUUCUAAUCAGGAAAUCUAAUGCAAUCUUCUCCACAUCUGAAUGCACCCUGAAGUUGGUGGGGCAGCACCCUAUUUACCCUAACGGGCCAGCCUCCGCGGGCCUACCCCUCAGUUUCACAAGGCCAACCUUAUGUCACGAACCUAAACAAAAUUGUUGGGAGGGAUGGCGCAUUAGAAAAUCAGUGCCUGCAUUUUCGCUGCACACAAGGACAAUGACAUAAUGAUUGCCUUAUUAUGUUACUAUUCUCGUAGCCAUUGUAGGCUUUCUGCCUUCAGAAUGUGCAGGAAUUGUUUUCGUCUGCUGCCAAUGGGGAAAAGGCUGCUAUAGUUAUAAAACUAUAGUCUCUGUUCUGGGGGUGGGGUGGGGGAUUGGAAUCACAUCCUAAUUUUUCAUGACUGAGAUGCUCCAUUUUACAAUGCAGAAUUGUUGGGGGGGGGUUUAAGGUGCUUAAAUUAGCAUGGAAGAGAUUCAGAUCAGCUUCUGGCGUGGAUACAGAUAGGAGGUGCUCCAUUCUAUUUUUAAUUAUCCUGGUAAUGGCUUGCUUUUCUAUAUGUUGGCCACAUAUAAGAUAAGCAUAAUGCCACACUGACAUGUGAAUAGCUUAUUCAUUACGAGAGCCUGCUAAGAAUCCACAUCCGGCAUUCCUCUAACGAAAUGCAGCUGGAGCUUUCGGAUACAGGACUAAGCAUCUCUUGAACAGCUUGUAUUCUGCAAGGUUCAAUCGGCUAUUAUCUGUUGCAUUGUGGAUUAUCUUCUCCUCUACUGUGAAUAGGAACCUCGCCCUGCAACAUUAACCAUGCUGCUGCAAAUGCUGGAAUUUACAUAAUGGAAUUGCAUUAGGGUGAGGACAGAUGUGAAAAAUUGAGAGCAGCUGGGCCAUUUUUAAAACAUCUGCAUACCUGAAUUCAUAAAAAAUGCAUCUCUCUCUGCCCCCUGCCCUGGCCCCCACACUUUUGGGGCAAACUCAGAAAACCCUGUGGUAUAUUAGGUUUAGCCUCAAGGGUCAAUCAUUACAGUUCUGCCACAUAAAAUAAGUAGCAUUAUCCUCCAUAAAUUUGUCAAAUCCCCUUUUAAAGCCAUCUAAGUUGGUGGUCAUCAUUGCCUCCUCUGGGAGCAACCAUAGUUUAACCAUUCAUUCAUUUAUUCAUUCAUUCAGCCUUUAUUGGCAUAAUAUAGUUUAAAUAUGUGCUGCAUGAAGAAGUACUUCAUUUUGUCUGUCCUGAAUCUUCCAACAUUCAGCAUACUUGGAUUUCCAGAAAUUCCAGCAUUAUGAGAAACGGUGGGUGAUCUUUUGCUGCACUUCCUCCUCGCUGCUCACCAUGUGUCAGGGUUCAGAACAUGACCCUCCAGCAAAUCUCCCCCUUGCCAAUGACCUGGAGGAGCCAUCAGAUCUGGACAUCACAUCCCUACAAGGAAAUUAUCUCAAAAUCUCCAUUUCCAGAACAUAAAAAUAUAAGGCGCACCCUGCUGGUUCAGGUCAGUGGCUCAUCUGGUCCAGUAUCCUCACAGUAGCCAACCAGAUGCCUAUGGGAAGCCCGCAAAUAGGACUUGAGUGCGAUAGCACUCUCCUCACUUAGAGCAGAGACAUUUUGACUAGUCUGUUGAUUGUCUGAUCCUCUUUUAAAGCCAUCCUGCUGUUCAAUCCAGUCCCACCCACCUCAAACCAGCUUCAGUCUGACUAGAGGAUUCAACCAGAUUCACUUUGUAGUUAAGGUAAAGGUAAAGGUAAAGGUAAAGGACCCCUGACAGUUAAGUCCAGUUGCAGAUGACUCUGGGGUUGUGGCGCUCAUCUUACUUUACAGGCCAAGGGAACUGGCGUUUGUCCGCAGACAGUUUUUCCGGGUCAUGUGGCCAGCAUGACUAAACCGCUUCUAGUGCAACGGAACACCGAAACCACAGCAACGCACAGAAACACCGUUUACCUUCCCACCGGAGCGGUACCUAUUUAUCUACUUGCACUUUUUUUGGGCGUGCUUUCGAACUGCUAGGUUGGAAGGAGCUGGGACUGAGCAACAAGAGCUCACCCCGUCACGGGGAUUUGAACCACCAACCUUCUGAUUGGCAAGCCCAAGAGGCUCAGUGGUUUAGACCACAGUACCACCCGCGUCCCUUGUACUUAAGCUAGGUGUGGACAUUUGAGACAACCAUUGCACUUGAGUAGAUGAACAUUCAUGCAGAGAUAACAACUUCGUGUACAUGCAUUCUGGUCAUGGGGUGUAUAUGUUGCAUGGGCAGGGAAACCAAAAAGGUAAUGUAUGUUGGGUGAAGAUAUCCCCACCUCCUCUCUGAUGUGUACAACACUAUGCAGCCAAAUUGAUCUGCAGAUCUGGCACAGUUACAGGUGCCACAUAAUACUCAUUCUGCAUUUGUAAUAAAUCAAUAUUUCGAUGUGGCAGCACCUACACUUUGAAACUUCCUGCCUAUUGACAUUAGGCAGGCACUUUCACUAUACUCUUUUCGGCACUGCUAAGAAACAUUUUUGUUUAGUCCUGAGAACAUAAGAACCUGCUGAAUCAGGCCAAGGCAAACCUACCCAGGUAUGUACCAUGUUCACAUGUGUUUUAAUCUGUUUUUAGUUCAUUACUGAUUUUAAUUAUUAUUUGAAUGUUUUAAACUAUUUUAAACUAUUAUAACUGAUAAUUUUAUUGUUUUAUUCUUUUUGUAAACUGCUUUCUGUGUGUGUGUGUGUGUGUGUGUGUGU